AUUGAACGCUGGCGGCAUGCCUUACACAUGCAAGUCGAACGGUAACGCGGGGCAACCUGGCGACGAGUGGCGAACGGGUGAGUAAAGCAUCGGAACGUGCCCAGUAGUGGGGGAUAGCCCGGCGAAAGCCGGAUUAAUACCGCAUACGACCUAUGGGUGAAAGGGGGGGAUCGCAAGACCUCUCGCUAUUGGAGCGGCCGAUGUCAGAUUAGGUAGUUGGUGGGGUAAAGGCCUACAAAGCCGACGAUCUGUAGCUGGUCUGAGAGGACGACCAGCCAGACUGGGACUGGGACGCGGCCCGGACUCCUACGGGAGGCAGCAGUGGGGAAUUUUGGUCAAUGGGCGCAAGCCUGAUCCAGCCAUGCCGCGUGCGGGAAGAAGGCCUUCGGGUUGUAAGCCGCUUUUGUCAGGGAAGAAAUCCUUUGGGUUAAUACCUCGGGGGGAUGACGGUACCUGAAGAAUAAGCACCGGCUAACUACGUGCCAGCAGCCGCAGUAA
Molecule: ribosomal RNA, 498 nt
Filed under: uncultured bacterium
Lineage: Bacteria
Description: partial 16S ribosomal RNA
Rfam family: Bacterial small subunit ribosomal RNA
Source: RNAcentral